Molecule: long non-coding RNA, 930 nt
Filed under: Populus tremula
Lineage: Eukaryota; Viridiplantae; Streptophyta; Magnoliopsida; Malpighiales; Salicaceae
Description: long non-coding RNA (PTRE_LNC002138)
Source: RNAcentral
UAUGUCAACUUUCUGUUUCUGAUUGUUUUUUCAUGUUUAACCUUUUAGAAAAACAAAAUGCAACCAUUCAAACAUAAGAUGGACUGUUUUUAGUUGGGCAAUUUCUUUGUUGCUCUUGUUGUUUUAUUGCAAUUUUGUUAUCCAAUUAUUUGGUAUGCAACUGGCCAAGGUAAUUCUAUUUGUUCACUCUGUGUUAUUGUUUGUUUCUUUACAGUUAAAUGGGGCUUCGCCUGAGCUUGUUAAUAAGUUGAUACCGGAUCAUGUGAAACGACAAAUGGGACAAAUGGGUCUAAAUUUUAUGCACCUGGCUGGGACAUAAGCAAGUUAAGUGGUAUGGGAUUGAUAUCUAGCAGUUAUUUCUGUGAUACACCUGGCAGUUAUUUCAUCGUGAGGUCUGACCGGCAACAAUUCUCUCUCUACCAGGAUACAUAUGGAUCAGGCGGCUGGAUAGCUGUGCUUUCUUCAUGUUUUCUUCUCCCACGUUUUUCUCCCAAAUCCCAUCCACCUUUUGUCAAAACCCUUUUUGUUUAUGUACAUGUUUGAUAGUAAGAUAGCCUGAGGUGCACUUAUCAGAUAGCUGCUAGCAAGAGGUAAAAGGUGGAGAAGUGUUCAUCCAUAUAGCUAGGAAGAAGGCCCCUAAUAUAACGGCCCAAAGAAAAGGGGUGGGCCCUGGUGUUGGAUGUGGGGGGUUUGUUUUUACUUGCCCGUGUUGUUUCCUAUUAGUUUUUGUUGAUUUGUGGUGGCUGACUUGAAUUAAUUGCAGACAAUUGUCAUCACUCGCUUUAUGUGCAAAAGUAAUGCUAUUGCGUUCUCUUGUAGUAACUGUACUUGUUCCUUCCUUGUAUUUCGACUUCAGUUACUGGGUUUUCGUUCACCAUCUGUUUAAUAUUUGAUAUGUUUGUGUACAUCAAAUGUUUCUCUUUGUUUGAG